RNAcentral lists this ribosomal RNA (403 nucleotides) under Verrucomicrobiota bacterium. Its description in RNAcentral is "Verrucomicrobia bacterium partial 16S ribosomal RNA". It matches the Rfam family "Bacterial small subunit ribosomal RNA", at positions 355 to 776 of the family's 1533-position model. The record is from RNAcentral. Lineage: Bacteria; Pseudomonadati; Verrucomicrobiota.
UGGGGAAUAUUGCACAAUGGAGGGAACUCUGAUGCAGCGACGCCGCGUGAACGAAGAAGGCUUUCGAGUCGUAAAGUUCUUUUAUAUGGGAAGAUAAUGACGGUACCAUAAGAAAAAGCCCCGGCUAACUACGUGCCAGCAGCCGCGGUAAUACGUAGGGGGCUAGCGUUGUCCGGAAUCACUGGGCGUAAAGGGUUCGCAGGCGGAAAUGCAAGUCAGGUGUAAAAGGCAGUAGCUUAACUGCUGUAAGCAUUUGAAACUGCAUAUCUUUAGAAGAGUAGAGGUAAGUGGAAUUUUUAGUGUAGCGGUGAAAUGCGUAAAUAUUAAAAAGAAUACCGGUGGCUAAGGCGACUUACUGGGCUCAUUCUGACGCUGAGGAACGAAAGCGUGGGUAGCAAACAGG